This is a non-coding RNA of Gossypium hirsutum (cotton), 145 nucleotides long. The record is from Rfam. NCBI's taxonomy places the organism in Eukaryota, Viridiplantae, Streptophyta, Magnoliopsida, Malvales, Malvaceae.
UAUUAAAAAUUUCAUUUAAUUCUAUUAUUAAAAACUAGCGUGACUGAUAAAAUAACUAGACAGUUACACGUGACAUGCCACGUGUACCUCAUUCUAACGUACAAGGACCAGUUUUUAAUAGUAGAAAUAGAUGAAAUUUUCAAUU